GCGGUCACCAUGGAGACGGCAAACCCAGCCCCGGAGCUCCCCAGCUACCCCCAGCUCCGCCAGUCACCUGCAGGCCUCGGGUGGGAGGCCUGGGAAUGCCCUCCUCGCGGGCGCGGUCGCUGGGCAAGGGCCACCUUACCUCCCCGCCCCACACCUCUCCACCAGGCCCACAGCUCCGGCCACUUGGGAGGUUUCUUCACUGCCUCCUCCCCACCUCAAGCUCCCAGCUCACGCCUGGGGAAAGAGUUCCGAUUCCAACUCUGCUGCAGGAUGAAUUUAGUUGAGUCUCGGGCCCUCUCUGAGCCCGAACUUCUGCCUGGUAUCUCGAUAAUGACAAAGCCAUGCUGCUUGAUUUGUGGGAUCUUAGUUCCCCCACCAGGAAUUGAACCCGGGCCCUCGGUAGUGACAGCACCAACUCCUAACCACUGGACUGCCAGGGAAUUCCCUAAAAGAAUGUUACUGAAGUAUAACUGACAUGCACAAAGUGCAUAUAUUUAAAGUGUCCAACCUGAUAAGUUCUGACAUACAUAUAUACUCAUGCACCAUCACCACAUUUAAGAAAACUGUAUACUUCAUCACCCCUAAAAGUUUUAAUCUGUCCCUUGUAACCCCUCCCUCCCCUCUCUCUUACCCAGUGCUCAAGCACUCUAUAGAUCAGUUUGCAUUUUCUAGAAUUUUAUAUACUCGAGUACAGUAUAGACAGUAUAUAAUGUAUAGAGUAUAUACUCUUUUUUGGUAGUUUUUUCAGCCUAGUUUCUUUAAAUCAGCAUAAUUAUUCUGAGAAUGUUUGUUCCUUUUUAUUGCUGAGUAGUAGGAGGAUGUGGAUAUACUUCAAUUUGUUUAUCACUCACUUGUUGAUGGGCAUUUGGGUUGUUUACAAUUUGGGGUUAGUACAAAUAAAGCUGUUAUGAACACUUGUAUACAAGAAUUUCUAUGAAUCUAUGCUUUCAUUUCUUUUAGACAGACACUUAGAAGUGAAAUGACUGGGUCACAUAGUAGAUAUUUAUUUAACUUUAUAAGAAACUGCUAAACUCUUUUCCACAGUGAGUGCACCAUUUUACAUUCCCAUCAGGAGUGUUAAGACUCCAGUUCCGGGACUUCCCUGGUGGCACAGUGGUUAAGACUCCACGCUCCCAAUGCAGGGGGCGCAGGUUCGAUCCCUGGUCAGGGAACUAGAUCCCAUAUGCUGCAACUAAGACCUGGUGCAACCCAAUAAAUAAAUAAAUAUUCAAAAAAAAAAAAAAAAAAGACUCCAGUUCCUCCACAUCUUCUCUAACAGUUGUAUGCUCAUUUAUGAGAAUGGAUAAUAAAAGCUAAAAGUCACUCUAACAGAUGUGUUGUAGUGUCUCACUGUGGUAUUAAUUUGUAUUUUCCUAAUGACUAGAGAUGUCGAGCAUCUUUUCAUGUGCCUAUAUACCAUCCAUAUAUCUCCUUUGGUGAAGAUAUUCAUUUCUUUUGCUCAUAAAAAAAUUAUUUUUAGAUAAUUGUAGAUUCACAUGCAGUCCUAAGAAAUAAUAGAGACCCCUUGUAUUCUUCACCCAGUUUUCCUAAUGGUAGCAUCUUGCAUGACUACAGUACAAUAUCACAGUAAGAUUCCUCUGAUUUCUGCUGAAAUUCAGAUUUCACCUGAUUACGUGCACUUGUGAGUGUGUAUUUAGUUCUGUGCAAUUUUAUCGCAUGUGUAGAUUUGUGUGAUCAUCACCAGAGUGAACACACAGAGCAGUUCCAUUACAAGGAUCCCUCGUGCACCCUUUAAUCUUUUGUCCAUUUCUUUUAAUUUGGUUGUUUGUUUUAUUAUUGAGUUUUGAGAGUUCUUUAUAUAUUUUGAACAAAUAUCACUUGUGAGAUAUAUGAUUUAUGAAUGUUUCUCUAGUGUGUGUCUAUGCUUUUUAUCCUCUUAAUAAUGUCUUUUGAAGAACAGAAGUUUUAGGACUUCCCUGGUGGCACAGUGGUUAAGAAUCCGCCUGCCAAUGCAGGGGACAUGGGUUCGAUCCCUGGUCCAGGAACAUCCCACAGGCCAUGGAGCAGCUAAGCCCUUGCGCCACAACUAUUGAGCCUGCACUCUAGGGCCUGCAUGCUGCAACAACUGAAGCCUGCGUGCCUAGAGCCCAUGCUCUGCAGCAAGAGAAGCCACCGCGUUGAGAAGCCUGCGCACCGCAAUGAAGAGUAGCCCUUGCUUGCCCCACAACUAGAGAAAGCCGUGCACAGCAACGAAGGUGCAACACAGCCAAAAAAAAAAAAAGUUUUAAAUUUGAUGAAGUCCAAUUUAUCAAUUUUUAAUUUUAUGGGCUUCCCUGGUGGCGCAGUGGUUGAGAAUCUGCCUGCCAAUUCAGGGGACACGGGUUCGAGCCCUGGUCUGGGAAGAUCCCACAUGCCGCGGAGCAACUGGACCUGUGAGCCACAACUACUGAGCCUGCGCAUCUGGAGCCUGUGCUCCUCAACAAGAGAGGCCGCGAGAGUGAGAAGCCCGCGCACCGCGUUGAAGAGUGGUCCCCACUCCCCGCAACUAGAGAAAGCCCUCUCACAGAAACGAAGACCCAACACAGCCAAAAAUAAUAAAUAAAUAAAUAAAAAUUUUUUAAAAAUUUAAUUUUAUGAAUCAUGCUUUUCUUGUCGUAUGUAAAAAAUCUCUGCUUAACCCAAGAUCACAAAGCUUUUCUCUUAUAUUUUCCAGAAGUUUUAGGUUUUAGGUCUAUGAUCCAUUACACAUAGGUAUUUCUUGAAUAUAUUUUUAAACAGAAGUGUUUUUCAUGUACUACUUACUUUG
RNAcentral lists this long non-coding RNA (2767 nucleotides) under Monodon monoceros (narwhal). Its description in RNAcentral is "lncRNA (ENSMMNG00015004123.1)". Lineage: Eukaryota; Metazoa; Chordata; Mammalia; Artiodactyla; Monodontidae. The record is from RNAcentral.